CCGGCCGCCGGGGGGACGCGGCCCUGGCCGGCGCGCGCGGGGGAUGCGGAGUUGUCGCCGGAGCACGGAGCUCGGGCGCCCGUCCCGGGGACCCUGGAGAAGGUGGAGGGGGGGCCGGGCGCCCGGGGAGGAGAGAGGGAUUCGCUUUGCUGGUUCUGGCGGCAUUUAAGGAGGCUGGUGGUUGGGGAGGGUGGAAACGGGCUGACCGGGAGGGGGGACAGGGGCCGCAGGAGUCUGCUCUUGCCCGGGCUUGGGGGUUCUGGGGGAGCCAGAGUCUGGAGCAAAGGGGACUCGCUCUGCUGAUCUGCCGCCGUUCGGAAGAGCUAGAUCUCUGGGGCGGUUGGGGACACUGGGGCCAUGGGGAGGACACGUCUGUGGAUUUAGGGGACCCACUGUGCGCGUCUCAGGCGGGGAUCGAAGGAGAUCAGAAGGGGCGACUUCCUUUGCUGCUCCCCGACCCUUUGGAGAAGCUAGUGUUAGGGGGAUGAAAGCUGGAGGUUGGCCAUAGAGGACUGGGGAUGUUGGGAUCAGCCUGUGUUCUAGUCUCGGGGGCCAGGUGCUAACCCCGGUCGCGGCUGGGGUGCAGGCUGCGCUUGGGUGCCCCCGGGAGGCAGCCUUCCUGGGCGCGGGGGCCUGGGCGCGGUGGGAGGGCAGGGAGCGGGCGGUUUAGGGAGAUCCGUGGCUCCCCCAACCCCGGUCCUGCGGCCCCUUUACCCCGCAGCUGUGCUUGUUGGGGCUGCUUGGGUCGGUGCGCGGGGGAGGCGGGGAGGAUGUAGUAGGGGGACGGGUCGGCGGCUGGGCUGCUGUUCACGCCGGGGGGGAUAUUUUCCUGUCUCGCGCGCCCUCCCUAUCUUCAUCUUCGCCUUUUUGCAGGCUGUUCGCGGCUGGCAGACCCAGACCCGCGCCUUUCUGGCAGGGUUAAGACGGGAACAGUAUUGGCUAUUGAUGAAGAUAGUAAAUCGCCGCACGUAGAGGUGUGCGGCUCGGCGACCCUCCACUUCCAGCUUUCGACCAACAGACCUCCCCCCCCCCCCUUCUCUCUCCCUUCGAUGAGGGCAGGGGCCAGCCUCCUCCCUUUCCCCUCUUGCAGACCCCCCGGGCUGAGCCCCGAGCUCCCUUGAAUCUGUCCAGCCUCCUCCCCGGGGUUGGAGGCCACGUCCUCUGCCUUAGCCGAGGAAGGGAUGGGAAGAAGGAGGCGAUGCGCUUUUCAUCCCUUGUUCUCGUAAGGAUAGCGAACCCCACGUUUUUCUGCUCUCUCAUCCACCCGCUCCUGGAUACCCGGAGGUGGGGGUAAUCUGAACCAAGAAAAAAACGUGUCCCGAUGUUUCUGCUUCCCCUGGUCACAGCCUCCUGUCCCCAGGUGGCCCAAGCGCACGGUUUUGGUGCAGUGGGUCCCCUAGCUCUGUCGUGCGCCCUGGAGCAGGACGCGGACGCUCUCGCUGCCCUCCGGGACCCGCUGGGGGACUGGCAGCCAGUGUCCCCUUUGCAGGCACGGAGGUGGCCUCGAGGGGAAGAGAGGCAAAGCACCGUUUUUUCCGGCACCCCGUUUUCCCUCUGCGCAUCCUCCUCAUCUCCUGUCCCUGGAACUGCACAGAGCUCCUGCCACAGCCCAGAAACCCAGCUCGGGUGCCGAGCUAGGACGUGCGUCCACACUCACCCUGAGGCCUGGGGUUUGCCCACCAGGAUCCUGCCUCCACAGGGCUGGGGGCGAUGUGGACAUUUCCCCUUAAAAAUGCCCCCACCUCCUUAAAAAGACCACUGCUUAGUAUUUGUGUUAGUCAUCUGCCCCUUCUAGACUUUCUUUUUUGCCGUUUACUUGCUGGCUGAGUGGGCUCAGGUGCACGCUGGGGUCGAGCUUUGUAAGGGUCACGCUUUAAUGGGGGCAAUGGGAGGCAGCAGGACAGCAGCCUUGCGAAAUAAGAGGAAUUUCUAAUUCCACUUCUGGCCUUAUCCUUACGCUCGGGCAGUCAGUGGACCGGCCGUGAUUUUCUUUUUCCUGGUGUCUGAGGAAGCUUGAAAUCCAAAAUGGGACCUCUAGUGAUGCCGCCUUCGUGGGGCUUGGACAAUUUUCGUCUUCCACGUUUUCUUUUCAUGCCUACGUUGCGAGAGUGAAACCCUUCUCUUUGAUUCUGAUAUGUUUUGUACCGUGAUUACAUUACAUCUAGGAAGCUGGCGUUGGAAACGCUUCAGAUGGAUAAGCUCUGCUGUGUCCUGCACGUCAGACUUGAAGCAUCCGUGAUUGAUGGCUGCACCUCUCCCUCUAAGCCUCUCGGUGUAUUUGCAUGUACAUGCUUUAGUGCUGAUGGACAUCCUUUAUGGCCUUGUUAGAAAAAUGAGAAAGCGAUAUUUGUAGUUCAGCUAUCUUACUGUUUGGGAUGGAAUGCGAAAUCGUGUAGUCCCCUCACCCCCUCCUAACUACCCCAAGUGUGUUGUUUAAAAACGAAGAAUCUACCCUGUCUUGAAACUUGGUCCCUCUGACACAGUUAUGGAAUAAAAUCUCUGAUGUUGGCUUCUAAACAGUGUUCACAUGGCAGAGUUGAUGAAGUUAGAACAUUAAUACUACAAAUAGGCAUUAUAGGACCUUUUGGAAAUAAGGGAAGUUGCUGUCCCUGGAGGCAGAAAGGUUAUAGGAAAGGUUGGCUGAAAUGAGAAAAAGAACUAGCUGAGAGUGGAGCUCUGAGCAUCUCCUUGAUUGUGGACCUGUUGUCACUGAAUAAAAGAUUAUAUUGUUUUUUAUGUGGGGCAGUACAGGGAAUGCUGAUGGUUUAACACAGCAGAACAAAAAAGAAAAACCCCUUUCAGAUUCAUCUUCCUAUUCUUCUGAAGAAUUUCUAACUUAAUGUGAUAUAAUCAGUUAUAAUUUGGUACACCAGUUCCAAUGAAGUUUCCUGCCAUUUAUGUGAGAUCAUUUGAAAUGCCCCAAAGUAAUUGUUAUUAGGGACCCCCUCCUACCUCCUUACUCCGUCCCCCAUUUUCCUGGAAACUUCUUAACCAAAAGGACAGUCUAGACACUUCUGUCAGCCUUAUCUUGGUCAGGAAAGCAAAUUAAAUGUUGCUAGUGCUUUGUUGCUUUAGCUCUUCCCUUUUAUGGUAAAAAUUUUUUUGUUUUGCUUUUUUAAAAUCUGAAUUUUCAUUUAGCAUUUUCCUUCUAGCAUGCAGGACAGUGCAGUGCCCUUUCUGAGCAGGAUAAAGAUUAUAAUACGGUGUGCAUUCUGAAUGGCAAGAUUAAAAAACUAGAAUUAACCCUUUCAUCCUGGGGUGCAUCUUUCACGUGGUCACGUUUCGUAAAUCAGUUUAUGGGAGAAAUUCAGCGCAUCUGAAGUAAUCUCAGAAGCGCUCCUGCCCCAUCAAAUAAGCCCUCGGCAGGCUUUGGUUACGGGUUGACCACUAUCAGAUGACAGGUAGUAGUCACCGAAGCUUUAUCUGUGUAGAGAAUAAAAGGCCUGUGUAUCUUAGAAAAUAAAGGAAGCCAAGACUGUGUCCUGCCCCCACUUUUAGUUCUUCAUCUGAGCGUGAUCUAGCCAAAGCCGGUAGCUACUGAGGGGCUCAGGAAAGUGAGAAAUAGUCUUCUGAGAAGAGCCUGCCCCCAACAGGCAGUAAGAGCUUGUGGAAUUCAGCAACAGUCACUCAGUCUGUCCCAGAAUGAGGAUGCCUGGGCACAUAUUGGCCCUCAAUAAUUAUUUGCAAAUGAUUAAAAGAUCAGAAAAAAAAAAAAAAAAA
This is a non-coding RNA of Equus caballus (horse), 3720 nucleotides long. Lineage: Eukaryota; Metazoa; Chordata; Mammalia; Perissodactyla; Equidae. The record is from RefSeq and is a predicted model, not a curated record.